UAGCUAAGGAACAUUUUUCCAUCUAAGAGGCGGACAGGUGUCGAGAAAAGACUGGAGCGUGGUAAAUGAAGAGAAAGGAAAAAAAGGCUUUUUUUUUAAAGUCUUUUUCGCGUUCUGUCUCUCUCUCUCUCGCGCGAUUUCAUCGAGAGAAUGAAAACCAGAGACUCAAAUCGGAGGUAUCGCCGUCGUUCCGGCGUUAGUUCAUCAUCUCCACCGCCGCACUUUCUGAUGCAUCCACUGCUCCUUUCGCUUCUAGGUUUCUCUACGGAUAUUUUAAGAUUAGAGAGGUCUUGGAGUUAAGUGAACUAUUGGCCUUCGAAUAAUUCUUCGGGUAUAUGUGAAGCAGAAAACAUCAGUGGAAGUGAAGAUGAAGAUGAAGAUGAAGCUGGUGGAUCCCAAUCCUGAGCAUCAAAGAAGAAAGAGAAUAAGCGACAAGAGCGGGAAGCACAAAGACGAUCUAGCAUAUGUAAAAUCGAGGUUUUUGGACCUUGAAGAUGACUUUUAUGUUUAUAUGUGAUCAAGAGUUUAGAUUGGUUUAAAAUCAAAAUCAUUGGGGAUUUCGAUUUUGUUGAAGUCUGUUAAUUGUGAGCUUUUAUCCCAACUUUUGGAUGUUGUUUGGGAUUCCAAAAACUCUUUUAAUAGAUUUUGACUCUUGUCACUUAUUCACUUGUUCUCACAAACUCAUACCACACACGUUUAUACUCAUCCAAAAAUUGAUCUUUCUACUUAA
This is a long non-coding RNA of Arabidopsis lyrata subsp. lyrata, 730 nucleotides long. RefSeq lists it as uncharacterized. The record is from RefSeq and is a predicted model, not a curated record. The transcript is spliced from 2 exons. NCBI's taxonomy places the organism in Eukaryota, Viridiplantae, Streptophyta, Magnoliopsida, Brassicales, Brassicaceae.